CAUAUCAAAAGGUUUCACGUUAUUAUUAAUCUUACGUUUUUUAAUAACGUCUUUAUAUUUUUGUACGGCGUAGCUUUUAAUUUUCGAAAACGAGGACACUCAUUAUCCGGUAAUGGUUGUGUUAAAGACCAUUUAACCGUCUCCUCAGCGCCUCUCUUCCACAACAAGAUAGUGAGUUCAUUAUUACGAGCGCGCCAAACGCUGUGCUAAGGAUUGUCUCCCUGGAACGGAUAUAUCCGCUAAACGUUCUUUUACAUGUUAAUCGUAUUUUAGGGCGUUUUCUAUCUUCUUUGGACCCGUGUUUAGGGCAUUUCACGUGCAUUUCUUGGAACUGAGUGAACGUCAGCUGAAACAUACGACCAGAAACUCCGAUAGGCCUAGUUCCGUAAAGCCUGCAGUGCGUGGGUGGCGCUGCAGUUUCGAGAAUGCGUUUGCCCUAGGCCUAGUAUCCAUUAGUAUGCAGUCCCUCUGUUUGGAGUGAAGAAGCUGCAUGUUAAAACUGCUUCUCUGCAGACACGGGUGUACCUAUUGUUGUAAACCUCGCCUCCACCAGCGUUUCUAGGAAUCAUUCAGGCAUUAAAACCAAACGCUCGUUUCACUGGAAAGCUCUCCUCAAGUGAUACAAGGGGCCAGUACUAAACACGGCGAAAUACAUUGGACGGCCCCCAAUCCCUAGUAGAUGUCGUAUCCGCGGUUACGUUCCUUGCAGUCCGUGCGGACUGCUUCUGUAGAAAUACGCACUAAAGCUGAAUUCAUCGUUCUUAAAGAUUUAGGUGACGAACAUUCUUAGCACAUGUCUGUCUCCAGACGAUUUGAAACCGGCCACGAACAAGACAUUUUGUAGCACGUUCAAGUAGCGUCCGUUCUGAAGGCGCAUGCAUGAACAGGGAGGAUUACGGGCUGCUCUAUGAGCAAGAGCCCGUGCUGGCAUAAGACCAGCUUAAUAUCCAACAACAACAGAACAGGGAGCAUAUUGAAGGAGCAACUAACGAGAAGUAGCCAAUUUGAAAGCACAUUCAACAGAGAAGCCUUGCAUCCGUCAAGUAAAGUGGUGAACUCGUAUUCAAAAGCCUCUAGUCAUUUGAACGCUUUCAAGAAAUGUCCAGAAUGAUAUGGUUUGAAAUUGCAGUUAAACUUGUCUGAAGCAGCAGUUUGAAACGGGAGUUCAGCUGGUCAGAGGGGAGUUUGAAAAAGCAGUUCCAGCUUGUUACAGGAAGAGAGUUUGAAUUGUAUGAAGUUUGAAACGGCAGUUGCAGCUUGACACAGGUCGAGUGUGAAUUGUCUAAAGUUGUUUGAGACGGCAGUUCCCGUGGCAGAGGUGUCUUAAAACUUCAGAAGUUUUAAAGUAAAAGAAGAAUCUUUUAUAGUCAUAUUUGUAACAACUAUACUGAAAGGAAAAAAGAAAAAUUAAAAUUUUUCAAGGUACUUCCUUAUCUUUAUUUAAACUUCCACAUUUAGUCAUCUGUCCGAUAUUGAAACUUGCAAUAUACAUUUUGAUCGUUUAUUUGUUAAAAGAAGACUCCUCGACUGUGUGUGUUCUUCAUGGUGACUCCUCCUUUCCCUUUUCUUCCUGGUGACUUGCAAC
Molecule: long non-coding RNA, 1585 nt
Organism: Macrobrachium nipponense
Lineage: Eukaryota; Metazoa; Arthropoda; Malacostraca; Decapoda; Palaemonidae
Exons: 4
Source: RefSeq, a predicted model, not a curated record